GUGGGGAAUAUUGCGCAAUGGGGGAAACCCUGACGCAGCGACGCCGCGUGAGCGAAGAAGGCCUUAGGGUUGUAAAGCUCUGUUUUAAGGGACGAAUGUCGUGGGGAGUAAUAUGCUCUGCGAAUGACGGUACCUUAAGAGGAAGCCCCGGCUAACUACGUGCCAGCAGCCGCGGUAAGACGUAGGGGGCGAGCGUUGUCCGGAAUUACUGGGCGUAAAGAGCACGUAGGCGGGAACUUAAGUCAGGUGUGAAAGACCGGGGCUCAACUCCGGGGUUGCACUUGAAACUGGGUUUCUUGAGGGCAGGAGAGGAAAGCAGAAUUCCUGGUGUAGCGGUGAAAUGCGUAGAAAUCAGGAGGAAUACCAGUGGCGAAGGCGGCUUUCUGGACUGACCCUGACGCUGAGGCGCGAAAGCGUGGGGAGCAAACAGGAUUAGAAACCCGAGUAGUCC
RNAcentral lists this ribosomal RNA (451 nucleotides) under uncultured bacterium. RNAcentral's name for it is "partial 16S ribosomal RNA". It matches the Rfam family "Bacterial small subunit ribosomal RNA", at positions 354 to 796 of the family's 1533-position model. The record is from RNAcentral.